This 534-nucleotide unclassified non-coding RNA is filed under the name Hevea brasiliensis (rubber tree). The record is from RNAcentral. Lineage: Eukaryota; Viridiplantae; Streptophyta; Magnoliopsida; Malpighiales; Euphorbiaceae.
AGGGCUUCCUGUUCAACAAAGGAAACAAAAUAAAUUUCUCUGUAUACUGCGAACUUUGCAAGAAAGACAAAGAAAGGUAUGUCGGGAAGAAAAUUUUCAGCUGACAAAGAAAAAAAGAGAGCACGAAUCUGCACACAUAUAUACACCAUGCCUUUCUUGGGCAUGUUCAGCUGUGCUCUUUCUAUCGUCUGUCAACAAAAAGCUUCAACUGUUAAUUAACCAGAUCAAAAGCUAUGCCUUUGCCUGCAUGUUUGAAACCCCAUGCAUGCACAUAUCCCUCGCUCGCUUUAACUCUCCAUCUCCUAAUAUGUCUCACCAUAUUUACCAUACAAAACACAAGCCAAUGAUAGGGAGAUGGUGGGGUGUGUUCGUUUACAUCAAGUUAAUAGGGAGAUGGCUGAAGGAGUUAAGUUGUUGAAAGAAUAAGGGUGAGGUUAUGUUGAAUGGGAAAGAUAAAAAGCCAUGGUUGAGACAAGUGGCCGAAUUGAUAAGAAUAAUAAUCCUUUUCUGUAUCAAUGUCACAUUGAUUGAUUG